GACGAACGCUGGCGGCGUGCCUAGUACAUGCAAGUUGAGCGGUGAAGGUCGGUACUUGUACCAACUGGAUGAGCCGCGAACGGGAGAGUAACGCGAGUGGACUCUGCCUUUGAGCGGGGGACCACAUUUGGAAACGAAUGCUAAUACCGCAUAAGAACCUUAAGCACAAGUUUUAUGUGUGAAAGUUGCAGUUGCAUCACUCAAAGAUGAUCCCGCGUUGUAUUAGCUGGUUGGUGAGGUAAAGGCUCACCAAGGCGGUGAUACAUAGCCGACCUGAGAGGGUGAGCAGCCACAUUGGGACUGAGACACGGCCCAAACGCCUACAGGAGGCAGCAGUAGGGAAUCUUCGGCAAUGGGCGAAAGUCUGACCGAGCAACGCCGCGUGAGUGAAGAAGGUUUUCGGAUCGUAAAACUCUGUUGGUAGGGAAGAACGUUGGUGCGAGUGGAAAGCUCAGCAAGUGACGGUAACUAGCAAGAAAGCGACGGCUAACUACGUG
This 497-nucleotide ribosomal RNA is filed under the name uncultured bacterium. RNAcentral's name for it is "partial 16S ribosomal RNA". It matches the Rfam family "Bacterial small subunit ribosomal RNA", at positions 28 to 507 of the family's 1533-position model. The record is from RNAcentral.